UGAGGAAUAUUGGUCAAUGGGCGGGAGCCUGAACCAGCCAAGUCGCGUGAGGGAAGACGGUCCUAUGAUUGUAAACCUCUUUUGUCGGGGAGCAAAGAGGCCACGUGUGGUCAAAAGCGAGAGUACCCGAAGAAAAAGCAUCGGCUAACUCCGUG
RNAcentral lists this ribosomal RNA (155 nucleotides) under uncultured bacterium. Its description in RNAcentral is "partial 16S ribosomal RNA". It matches the Rfam family "Bacterial small subunit ribosomal RNA", at positions 355 to 507 of the family's 1533-position model. The record is from RNAcentral.